This 1055-nucleotide long non-coding RNA is filed under the name Struthio camelus australis. RNAcentral's name for it is "lncRNA (ENSSCUG00000012551.1)". The record is from RNAcentral. Lineage: Eukaryota; Metazoa; Chordata; Aves; Struthioniformes; Struthionidae.
CCUCGCCCAGCGUGGCGCGCUGGCGGCCUCCGCAGCCGAGGCUGUGCGCUCCGGUGCUCUGGCGCUGGGCUCGGGCGCGCCCGUGAACAGCGCGGUUUCACACCCAAAGGCACCGUAGUAAAGUGAAGCUAAAAGCCAAAUUGUGCAGGAAGGGGUGGGGGGGAAGGCAGAAGAGUGAGAGGAAAAAUAAGUUUCGGGACAGAACCGAGUGGAGGAAAAAAGAAGUGCUCGCUCCGACGUGUUUGCGUGGCUGCAUGCAAACUGAAACGGACGCUCCUAUCUCUGGACUUCUAACAACACCUGAUUCUAGGAAAUGAAGGGAUUUGUUUGCUAUGUCAGUCUGUCGUGGAGCCAUCACUUCAAGAUGCCUGAAGAAAGAGAUUUACUGUACAGCUCCUUAGAUCUUCAAACAAAAUUCUUCUGAUGUUGGUCUAUUCUCUGUUGGGGGUGCCUACAAGGUGCUGGUUUCAAGGCAGAUCCUGAUCACACUAUCAAAUUGCACCCUUAUAUCUCUACCUGGAAGAGCGACUUUGAAAGAAGGAAGAUCUCAAGACAUGGCUGAUGACACCUCUGUCCCUCAGACUUGUUGUCCAUCUGCUGACAUAAAAGCAGCCCAUCAGCACUGCUUUUAAAAUUGAUUUCAGAGCAGGGUUGCAAAAGCACUGUGGCAAUUUAAUUGAUAGUGUGGAAAUAGUUGAAAAAAUGACUGUGAAUCUUUUGAUUGCUUCUGAAAUAGAAACAGUCUGGCAUCAGAGCUGUGCUGUGUAGCUGAUAUACAGAGUUAGUGACACAGCUGUACAGGUAAAGAUUAUUUUAAUAAUAAUGGAGGGAGGGAAAAUAGGCAUCAGCUAUCUCAGGGUAAGUGGAGCUCAACUUAUUGGUAAAACUGAUGUAAAGUAAAGCUGUAGGAAACAUAUUUUAGAAUAAGAGUUAUUAAUUACAGUAAAGUCUACAAAUGAUACUAUAUGUCUAUAAAUAUGUACUGUAAAAUGGAGUAUAUGGAACCUCUAAGGAAAUUUGGGAGCUCAAAUUGAUCCAGUCUCCACCUCAUUUUA